UACAGAGGGUGCUAGCGUUAAUCGGAUUUACUGGGCGUAAAGCGUGUGUAGGCGGUUUGUUAAGUCGGGUGUGAAAUCCCUGGGCUCAACCUGGGAAUUGCAUUCGAUACUGGCAAGCUAGAGUACGGUAGAGGGCGGCGGAAUUCCUGGUGUAGCGGUGAAAUGCGCAGAUAUCAGGAGGAACACCGGUGGCGAAGGCGGGUCUCUGGGCCGAUACUGACGCUGAGGAGCGAAAGCGUGGGGAGCGAACAGG
Molecule: ribosomal RNA, 253 nt
Filed under: uncultured bacterium
Lineage: Bacteria
Description: partial 16S ribosomal RNA
Rfam family: Bacterial small subunit ribosomal RNA
Source: RNAcentral